This 459-nucleotide ribosomal RNA is filed under the name uncultured bacterium. RNAcentral describes it as "partial 16S ribosomal RNA". It matches the Rfam family "Bacterial small subunit ribosomal RNA", at positions 339 to 795 of the family's 1533-position model. The record is from RNAcentral.
CUACGGGUGGCACCAGUGAGGAAUAUUGGUCAAUGGGCGCGAGCCUGAACCAGCCAUCCCGCGUGCAGGAUGACGGCCCUAUGGGUUGUAAACUGCUUUUCUAUGCCAAGAAACCUGAUUACGUGUAAUCAGUUGCCGGUAGCAUAGGAAUAAGCAUCGGCUAACUCCGUGCCAGCAGCCGCGGUAAUACGGAGGAUGCAAGCGUUAUCCGGAUUCAUUGGGUUUAAAGGGUGCGCAGGUGGGCUUGUAAGUCAGUGGUGAAAUGCUGCCGCUUAACGGUAGAACUGCCAUUGAUACUGCGAGUCUUGAGUAUGGUUGAGGUAGGCGGAAUGUGUUGUGUAGCGGUGAAAUGCAUAGAUAUGACACAGAACGCCAAUUGCGAAGGCAGCUUACUAAGCCAUUACUGACGCUGAGGCACGAAAGCGUGGGGAGCGAACAGGAUUAGAUACCCCCGUAGUC